This 587-nucleotide ribosomal RNA is filed under the name Hanseniaspora uvarum. RNAcentral's name for it is "partial large subunit ribosomal RNA". It matches the Rfam family "Eukaryotic large subunit ribosomal RNA", at positions 64 to 668 of the family's 3401-position model. Lineage: Eukaryota; Fungi; Ascomycota; Saccharomycetes; Saccharomycodales; Saccharomycodaceae. The record is from RNAcentral.
ACCCAGGGGAUACCUUAGUACGGCGAGUGAGCGGUAAAAGCUCAAAUUUGAAAUCUGGUACUUUCAGUGCCCGAGUUGUAAUUUGUAGAAUUUGUCUUUGAUUAGGUCCUUGUCUAUGUUCCUUGGAACAGGACGUCAUAGAGGGUGAGAAUCCCGUUUGGCGAGGAUACCUUUUCUCUGUAAGACUUUUUCGAAGAGUCGAGUUGUUUGGGAAUGCAGCUCAAAGUGGGUGGUAAAUUCCAUCUAAAGCUAAAUAUUGGCGAGAGACCGAUAGCGAACAAGUACAGUGAUGGAAAGAUGAAAAGAACUUUGAAAAGAGAGUGAAAAAGUACGUGAAAUUGUUGAAAGGGAAGGGCAUUUGAUCAGACAUGGUGUUUUUUGCAUGCACUCGCCUCUCGUGGGCUUGGGCCUCUCAAAAAUUUCACUGGGCCAACAUCAAUUCUGGCAGCAGGAUAAAUCAUUAAGAAUGUAGCUACUUCGGUAGUGUUAUAGCUUUUUGGAAUACUGUUAGCCGGGAUUGAGGACUGCGCUUCGGCAAGGAUGUUGGCAUAAUGGUUAAAUGCCGCCCGUCUUGAACCAACGGACCA